AGGGGCUUUUUUGAAUUUCUGCAUAGAAGAUGCUCAUCGCAGAGUGAAAGCCAGGAGGGCUUUUUCUGGUUAAGGCGUCCACUUUGGCUGAGGGAUAUGUACAGACCUCUCAAUGCCACACGCAAGAAAAACAUGGCCCAGAAGCUUCACGACAAGGAGUCUUCUGAUGAGGAAGAGAUUUACAAGAAGGAUGCAGGCGAGCCCAUAUCAACAGCAACACCUGUGGAUUCGGCUGCUGAAGGUGGUGAGGAAAAUGAGACAGUGCCAGAGGGGGAGGACGAAGAGUGAUCCAGCCUACCUAAGGCCGCCUGCAAACUGUAUUUUCUAAUGUUGGCAUCUCAGCAUUGCUUGUAAGAUACUUAUUUUUCACACACAAAAAAUGUAUACAAUCUAUUGUCAAUUCCAGCCAGCUGGUAAGAAACUUAAACCCUUAAUAUAUAUGCCACUCCCUUGAUUAAAGCAGCC
Nycticebus coucang (slow loris) is the source of this 465-nucleotide long non-coding RNA. RefSeq lists it as uncharacterized. The record is from RefSeq and is a predicted model, not a curated record. Lineage: Eukaryota; Metazoa; Chordata; Mammalia; Primates; Lorisidae. The transcript is spliced from 3 exons.